RNAcentral lists this ribosomal RNA (467 nucleotides) under uncultured bacterium. RNAcentral's name for it is "partial 16S ribosomal RNA". It matches the Rfam family "Bacterial small subunit ribosomal RNA", at positions 339 to 795 of the family's 1533-position model. The record is from RNAcentral.
CUACGGGGGGCUGCAGUGAGGAAUUUUGCGCAAUGGGGGAAACCCUGACGCAGCAACGCCGUGUGAGUGAAGAAGGCCUUCGGGUCGUAAAGCUCUGUCAAGUGGGAAAAAAGUCUUUCGGUAAAUAGCCGGAAGGCCUGAUGGUACCACUAAAGGAAGCACCGGCUAACUCCGUGCGCAGCAGGGCCGCGGUAAUACGGAGGGUGCUAGCGUUGUUCGGAAUUAUUGGGCGUAAAGAGCGUGUAGGCGGCUUGGUAAGUCAGAUGUGAAAGCCCUGGGCUCAACUCAGGAAGUGCAUUUGAUACUGCUUUGCUUGAGUAUGGGAGAGGAGAGUGGAAUUCCCAGUGUAGAGGUGAAAUUCGUAGAUAUUGGGAGGAACACCCGUGGCGAAGGCGACUCUCUGGACCAAUACUGACGCUGAGACGCGAAAGCGUGGGGGGCAAACAGGAUUAGAUACCCCUGUAGUC